Molecule: non-coding RNA, 70 nt
Organism: Phrynosoma platyrhinos (Desert horned lizard)
Lineage: Eukaryota; Metazoa; Chordata; Lepidosauria; Squamata; Phrynosomatidae
Source: the annotation of a GenBank genome assembly
GCCUUUGUGGUGUAUUGGUUUGAGCAUUGGACUAUGACUGGAGACCAGGGUUCAAAUCCCUGCUUGAGCA